UUUUUUUUUUUUUUUUUUUUUUUUUUUUUUCCUGCACAGUGGUUUUGAUUUUGAGAGAGAAAUGUGCAGGCAGCUCACGUUCAUAAUGAGAAUGAUGUUUUAUCUGAGUCCUACAAUGACUGUGAGAGAAUGCCACCAGUUAGUUCAGGGAAACCAAGGGACUAAGAGUUUCCCAAACAGGACCGGAAUGAUCUCGGGACUGAGCUCAGAGGCUGCCAUCAAAAGUGUCAAUCUUGCAGCAGGUUGAGCCAGCCCUCUGGAAGGUGGAUUUAGAUGAUGCAAGGUAAUUCGUUUGUGAUGUGAUAAGAACAGUGGGAGGAAAGGACAGACAAGAAUUAAAAGGAAAGUAUGACUUGCAAGAUAUCCUAGACCCUUAGCACUGCCCAUCCACCACUCCCACCCUAAUAAGCAACUGCUGAGAAUACAGAUCUAGUUCCCCAGUGGCAGCAAAUGACACAGUAUUGGCAGAUGUCCUGGAAGAAAGCAGAACUGUUUAGCUUCUAUUUUAAUUCUAUUCUUUUUGGG
RNAcentral lists this long non-coding RNA (525 nucleotides) under Mus musculus (house mouse). Its description in RNAcentral is "long non-coding RNA chr16:23280160-23280685". The record is from RNAcentral. Lineage: Eukaryota; Metazoa; Chordata; Mammalia; Rodentia; Muridae.